This is a non-coding RNA of Oryzias latipes (Japanese medaka), 1565 nucleotides long. NCBI's taxonomy places the organism in Eukaryota, Metazoa, Chordata, Actinopteri, Beloniformes, Adrianichthyidae. The record is from RefSeq and is a predicted model, not a curated record.
UGACAGGAAAGUGUGAGACUCAAAAUAAUUAAAUUGAAUGUUUAGAAAGGUCAGAAUCACGAGAAUUUAGAGAAAGAGACAUUUGACCACUAGGGGGCGUUUGUCUGCUAAAUGCACACACAGCACCUUUAGGGCCAAACCAUCUGGUGAAGAAAGAGGGGAGUUCGUGUGAAUUAAUGUUUUAGUCACUUUCAUGUCUUUGUUACUUUCUGUUUUGUGCGUUUGUGUGUCUCAGUGAGUCUCGUAAAUAAAUAGACUCUUUGUGUGUCAUGAAUCUGGUGUCUGUUUUCCAGUCGGUAAAGCCUGAUGACGUCAUUCCCGGUUUUGCCGUCUACAGGAUUUGAAAUGUGAAGAAAAAACAUCUCACCACGUGGGGAGGCUCAGGCAGUGGGCGGGGCUUUGAUCAUCAGAGGAGCAAGUGGCAAACAGCUCGCUGGUACCUGCAGUAAACUCGGCGCCGGAGCGUUCGGAGGCGGCGUGCGUACGUGCCAGCCCCGCCGAGGCGGCCCCGUCUUUCAACAGCGUGUGUGUUUUCACAGGCCGUCAUGCUACGCCGGCUUCUUCUGAGGCGUCCUCUUUGCCUCCACAUCCCUCCCACGUCACCUCGCCGAGACCCAUCUGUGUCUAGAAGAAAGUAUGAUGAAACCACAAAACAAUGAGCGAACGUAAAGAACACAAGUGUGGCGACGCGUUUCUUGAAGCACGAGCAGCUGCAGUACCGAGCACACACACACGGGCGGGCGUUUUGGAAGGAGCGAAUGGGAGACGGGAAGAGCGGAGGGAGGCGUGUGUUCAAAAAAUUCACAAAGGUUUUGUAAUAAAUGCGUCCAUGACAAUAAAAACAAAAACAUUAAAGGGAGAAAAGACAUGUUUCUGUGUUAAACAAUUAGUGCUGCAGCAUUAGAGGCGAUCAGGAGGAGACAAAAGCGCUGCAGCGGCAGGGGGUUUACCCCAGACACAAAGACACAAAGACAGAUGCUCUGCAGCCCAGCCAAGCUGCAGCAUCACUCCGGUUCGGCGGUUUGGAAGCUCGGAAGGAUCUUUGGGUCCGUUCUGGGGAGACUGUGAGCUGCAGUUUGUCUACAUCAUCAGCUCGUCUGGAUAAUUAAAUUCAUUUGUGACCACGAGCUACCAGAAAUCCACGACAACAACGCAGCAUUUAAAACUUCCGCAAAAGUUACCGCCCCCUCCCAUAUGGUGGCGAGAAAAGGUGCUUUUGCCUGCGUAAAUAUUUAGGACUUUCCAAACCUGCGUGGCCUCCUUUGGUAAAGCAGCUGCUUUCUUAGCCAGAAUUCUCGAAAUGAUCUUUUUCUGAAACCAGCAAACAGUCAGAUUCAAGCCGGUCUUCUGCUAGAAGGACCUUGAACCGAUUUUUCCUGUGUUUGUGUCCUCUUCAGCAUUUGCUGGUAAUUAAUGUUCAUAAUUAACGGCAACAGGCAAGCAGCCCCACACCAUCACACUACCACCACCAUGUUUAAGUGUUAAUUCAAUAAAGUUCAUUGUGACUACAAAGUUAACUAAGUUCUUAAGUUAUUUUUUCUCAGACAUGGUUUGUGUUUGUCAAC